RNAcentral lists this ribosomal RNA (303 nucleotides) under uncultured bacterium. RNAcentral's name for it is "partial 16S ribosomal RNA". It matches the Rfam family "Bacterial small subunit ribosomal RNA", at positions 507 to 807 of the family's 1533-position model. The record is from RNAcentral.
AGCAGUAGCCGCGGGAAUACGUAGGGUGCAAGCGUUAAUCGGAAUUACUGGGCGUAAAGCGUGCGCAGGCGGUUAUAUAAGACAGAUGUGAAAUCCCCGGGCUCAACCUGGGAACUGCAUUUGUGACUGUAUAGCUAGAGUACGGCAGAGGGGGAUGGAAUUCCGCGUGUAGCAGUGAAAUGCGUAGAUAUGCGGAGGAACACCGAUGGCGAAGGCAAUCCCCUGGGCCUGUACUGACGCUUAUGCACGAAAGCGUGGGGAGCAAACAGGAUUAGAUACCCCGGUAGUCCCUGUCUCUUAUAC